GACGGGAUAGUCUAGUGGUUAUGACGUCUGCCUUACACGCAGAGGCCGCGAGUUCAAUCCUCGCUCCUGGUA
Molecule: transfer RNA, 72 nt
Filed under: Perkinsus olseni
Lineage: Eukaryota; Perkinsozoa; Perkinsida; Perkinsidae
Rfam family: tRNA
About the family: Transfer RNA (tRNA) molecules are approximately 80 nucleotides in length. Their secondary structure includes four short double-helical elements and three loops (D, anti-codon, and T loops). Further hydrogen bonds mediate the characteristic L-shaped molecular structure. tRNAs have two regions of fundamental functional importance: the anti-codon, which is responsible for specific mRNA codon recognition, and the 3' end, to which the tRNAs corresponding amino acid is attached (by aminoacyl-tRNA synthetases). tRNAs cope with the degeneracy of the genetic code in two manners: having more than one tRNA (with a specific anti-codon) for a particular amino acid; and 'wobble' base-pairing, i.e. permitting non-standard base-pairing at the 3rd anti-codon position.
Source: Rfam by way of RNAcentral